GCAAAUGCCAUUUUGUAAACAUUGCUAUUACACCUCUACUACCUUAAUAUGAAAACUACUCCACACAUGAUGGUACAAAAGAUGGUGGGGAAUUGGCUCAGUUUGUAAUCAAAAAUAGAUAUUGGAAAAUAAACUCUGAUUAAGGGUAUUUGUCCACUGUCAGGCAGCUUGAAAUACAAAAUAUCACAUCAUGCAUGUUUAAGGGACCGGUGGUUAAUGUACACUGUAAUACACUAUUCUUUCUUGGAAAUCUUUUGUUUGUAAAUUACUUCAGUCUGCAAGGAAUAUUGUCUGCUUAAUGACUCUUGUUACUCUAAAUUCCUGUGUGAAAAAAAGAUAAUUGAAUUAAGAUAUGCAUUUAUUUGAAAACAUAACUAGAUAUGAAAUUGUUCUGUGAUAAAAUGAGUUAUUUUUAAAAAAAGUCACCUGGAACAAACUUGCAUGUACAUAUAUAUAUGAAUAUUUUGUAUGAUUAAAUUCAAUGUUAGAUGGGUGUUGAAUGCCAGAAUUGCUUGAAAGAUGUCCGAUUGAGAAUAUAAGUUAAAGAUAUUAUUAUAAUUUGUGCCAUUUUGAUACAAACAGUUAUCUGGUUAGAAAAAUUUUGACUCCGAGUGUUUAUUGUAUAAUACAAACACUCGAUGUACCUCGUAUAUAUUAACAAGUAAAUCAGAAUUAUUAAAACAGUUUGUCAAAUGCGAGGUUUUGCUUUUAAAAAAAUUGACAUUAUGGCAACAUUGAAUAAAAUUACACAAACAAAACAUUGAAUUCAUCUAUUUAUCACGCAAGUGUUUUUGUGUUUUCACUGAAUUCUAGAUGAAAGUUAUGGUCUUUGGUAAUAUCCUGCAUGGUAAAACAUUUUAACUCUAGUCUUGCAGGUAGAAAAUGUGUUAACUUGAGUUACAUGUAACGUUUAACCUUAGUGUUGCAGGUAGAAAAUGUGUUAACUUGAGUUAUAUGUAAUGUGUAACUCUAGUGUUGCAGGUAGAAAAUAUGUUAACCUGAGUUACAUGUCAAAUUGUUGAUAAAAUCUAACUUAAUAUUGGUAAAAAAAACUAUUACAUUUGUAUUGAAACAGUGAGAUGUAUGUUGAUACAAACUCUGAUAGUAAAUUUAUUAAUUCAAAUUGUUUUACUAAAUUAUUUAUAGUUACUUUGUUGUUGAUUGAAGUAAUGUUGAUUUGUCUGUGAUUUGAAUGUUAGUGAAAAUAUCUUCAUAUGUGUGAGUGUGCAAUUGUUUAUGAGCCAAAUUUAUAAAUUAAAAAGUAAUGUGUACUUAUAGUGAACUUUGUUUUACUCCUCUUUAUAUAGGCUUUUGAUGUUGAUAAGUUUUCGUGUUUUCAGUGAUGCAAUACUCAGUUUAAAUGUGUAUAUUUUGUAGCGUAUUUGUUGCAUAACACUCAAGCAGAACGUUGUUAUUCAGAAAACUCUUGUCAUCAAAGGGUUUGGUUCUGGGACAAGGUGUGUAUAAAAAGAAUUUGAACCACGGUUGAACCAUUGCAUGCGGUAACUGGUAGCGUCUGAACACUUGGUCAGGCUUUAUGUCUGUGAUUCCAGCAGGCAUACAAAUUUUAGUUCCAUAACUUAAUAUUCUGAUGUAAAUGAGAUGUGGAACCAAAAUAUUUAAUCCUGUUGGGCACCAUAUAACCUGCACUGUGUUGGUUAGACACAAAACACUAACAGAAAAAGAGGAACAUGUCAACUUCAGUUGUUAUUUCUGCUGUGUGUAGACAAGAGUUUUUGAUUGAAUCAUUAGUUGGGGAUCAGUAAAAUGCAUAUAGAAAUGAUGAAAUAAAGGUAAAAAUAAAUUACCAAAAAUGAAAGAUUUUGAACAGCUGUCCGCAUGUUCCUAAGACAGCAUUAUGUUUGGUGUUUGUGUAUUCAAGUAUAGCAGGUUAAGUCGAUACAGUCAUAUUGGGCUCAAAAAUGAAUAUCACUCACUAUAUCUGGGUAAGUCCAAAAUAUAGUUGUAUUUGGAAAACAAGUUACAAAAAACAUUCAAGACAAUGAUUGGCAAAAUUUUAUGAUAAUGAUUGCAGAGGGUUUUAUUAAGCCUUUUUUUAUUGACAGAGUAUUUAUGUCACUGUUGCUUGUAUGAUGCAGACAGAUCUCUUGUUAUGGAAUUUAGACUAUUAUUGAUACUGACUGUAUCUGGGGGGUAGGGGGAGUGUUUGAGUAGUGUUGGGAGACCACUUUUGUAUAUAGUCAUCUUACUGUUGGUGCAUACAAAAUGUUCAUUUGGUGUCCUUACCAUAAUCAAAAGCAGAAGGAAAAAAAUGAAGAUAAAGAAACUUACAUUAGUUAAAUUGAUAAAUUGUGAAAAAAUUUUUUUUAAAAACCACUUUUUGUGCAGGUUCAUAUGAAAAUUUAAUAUGCAAAGCCACAAAUAAUCUGCCUAUUAUGGAAUGCAUUACUAAAUGUAAAAAAUAUUCUUGUGUCCUAUACAGGUAUGAAAUAGUGUAAUGUUUCUGAAGUUAGCAGUAAGUAAACUAGGGACCAUGUUUUGUGAGUAAAUUAUAAUGUUUAUCUGAAAAUUAUUGUAAAAUUUAAGACUGACAUGUUACCUAAGAUCAAAAUGGUAUAUGGUCAAUAUGUCUUGCUCGUCUUGUUAAAUACAAGAACUCGACUUCAGCAAAAUAAAACGCGAACAAAAGCUUUAAAGUGAUAGUAACAAAUUUUACCAUGUAUGUUGUAAAUAAACAUAUUCUUAAAUUC
Molecule: long non-coding RNA, 2711 nt
Organism: Mercenaria mercenaria
Lineage: Eukaryota; Metazoa; Mollusca; Bivalvia; Venerida; Veneridae
Exons: 2
Source: RefSeq, a predicted model, not a curated record